Silurus meridionalis is the source of this 2985-nucleotide RNA transcript. RefSeq lists it as uncharacterized. The record is from RefSeq and is a predicted model, not a curated record. Lineage: Eukaryota; Metazoa; Chordata; Actinopteri; Siluriformes; Siluridae. The transcript is spliced from 6 exons.
UAUUUAUAUAUUGUAUUUAUGUAUUUAUUUGUAAAUGUAUUUACUGUAAACUCUUAUUAAAGAUAAAGUAAGUGCAGAUUGUUGUUAGUUAUUUAUCUUUUUAGGUGGCAGCAGGAUGGGGGCAGGUCAUGACGUGGAAAGGAGACUCUCUGCUUGCAGGCUUCCUGUGACGUAGCUUCCUGUGUUUGACUGUGUUUUUAAACAAACUUUACUAUUUAUCUCUCCUUUUUUCCUCUUUUAAUAAUCCUAAAUAGUUUUUGUCUUCCUGUCUUGUGCCUGUAGUUAGUUAACUCGACUAUCACUAGUGUUGACUAUAUUCAUUCCCUCUCACUUUAUCACAUCUUUGAAUCUUAACUCUAUCUGCUUGUUUGAGUUGCAAACGGUGGAGCUGAAGAUGGAGGCUUUGGAGAAACAGGCAAAGCAUGCCCAGCUGCGAGAGCGGAAAGCGGCGCUGGAAACAUCCCGGGCGGACGCUCACUCGUCCCAGAUAUGGCUGAAUCACAGCUGCUAAAGAACAUAGGGGAUGUGAUAGCAGGAGUGCUUCGGACCUUCCUGAUCAACUUGUUAAGUCCGUUGAAGAUACUUUGAAAACACUUGGUGCAGCAACCACAGAUAAUUUAAAGAACAUCACAGAAAACGAUUUGCUGCCAGUGUUAAAGCCCAUACAAGCACGAAGACUGGAUGCUGCCUGGACCCAAAAUAUCUCCGGGACUUCAACACCAAAAUCUGUGCAUUCAUCUCCAGUGGUUGUCUUUCCCUCUGCACCCUCAAUUUCUUCUUUACCAGCAUCAUCCACCUCUACAUCAUCUUCAGGAAUCUGUACACCAUUAAUACCAAACUGCUUAGAGCGAUUUGAAAUCCCAUGGCAGAGGCUCCCUGAGGAGUUAAUACAGAACUUGGAAAGACAGAAAAGACCAAGUGCAAGACAACGAAGAGAAAUGGUGAGGAUCGUGGUCUCUGAAAUGAUGAAGAUUUGCAAGAAUCCGACCAAACACAACUUCUCAAGCUUCAGACUGAAAGAGGUCAGUCCAGUGUUCGUUUCCAAGAAGUCAUUGAGAUGCUGCUUCUUUUACUGGCUCAUUUUGAUGAGAAGGAAGAGCUUCUGUUCCACUGUGUUGAGACGACAAGCCUUGCAGAGGAUGUUCAGAUGGAGAAAGUGCCACCAACACCCUUCAUUAUUGUUUGUGGUUCCUCCUGCUUCGCUGCUGAGACAUUCAUGUUGAGCAUCGACAAGAAGAUUGUCAACGACCACAUCACAACCUUCACCUCCGCCAUCUGCCUGAUGUUUGGCAGUUAUUACUGCUUUAACAUACACUACCCAGUGGAACUACGAUCAACACUGGAGUUUCUCCAACGCUAAUAUUCUGUUUUUAUGAACACCUUUUAUGGAUUUAUCAAACGUAUCAAUUUGAUAUCCAUCUCAGGUUGUUCAUUUUCUCAAUCUUUCUCUCACUCUAUUUUUUUUUCCAUAAAGGUUUCUUUUCCAUAAAUCCUGAGAGGCACCGAGGUUGAAUCCAAGAAGAAAAAAGUGUUCAGUCAAUCCCAGAGUCCUCACUCUCAUCUCAGACAUUGCUGAUCAUGAGUGGAUCUAGUGCUCCCCCUCUUGUUGUGGACAAUGUGAUAAAGUUGCAGUAGAGCAGGAGAAUGAACCGGUUUGCUGAGAAGUUCAAAACAACCAACGUUCUUCUAGCAUGGAUUCAUUCAGCGAUGUUCGCCCCUGCCAGCGUGGCGUUGGUGGUAUAGUGUCAUUUAGUUGAAUCUUCUGAGGAGAAGUGGGUUCCACACACCAGCUAUCAACCAGAAAAGAGGUUCAAGCAGUCUCCCAACUCAGCACCUGUUUCAGCUCUACCAGUAAGAGUGAAGGGGCUGGAUGUUCUCUGGUUCAGGCAAACGUUCUUGUAGUUUUAUUAUGGAAAAUAACCUAAAUAUAUUACACAAAUGCUUAACGUAUAAUGUAACGGUGUGUUUUGGGAAGACUAUUUUAAGGAAUGUAGUGAUAUUUUGCAAUGAGCUCAGACAGCUAACGUGCUUCAUUUGAAGGUCAUGUUCAGUUCACUUUGUAAAAUUUGAAUGAAAUGUUUUAAAAUACACGAUUAUUGUGUAAGUUAUAGUUAUUACAAUAAACUGUAUUUAAAUGGGUUGUGGGUUGUGGAAGGAGUUUAUAGAAUCUUUAGUAUUUAAGUCAAAGAAUCAUACAAAAGCCAUAUGAUACACAGUCAUACACCUAAUGCUAAUUACAAAUGCUAAAUUGAGAAUUAAUCUUUCUUUGUGGAUAAAUCUUUGCUUGAUUUGCGUUAGAGGACGGCUUAAAGACCAGACAGAAUCCUCUGCCAGCUGGUCAGUUACAUUUCACCGUCCUCGUUCUCCUUUCUGUGAAUCAGUUUUGGCUAACGUUAAUGCUAAACACGUGAUUAUUGAGUUAUAGUUAUAGGGGAUUCUUAGCCUUGUUAACCCUGUGGUUAUUUAUGAUCUUAGAUGUACAACAUAACGUGCUUCACAUAACAUCCGGUCUAAAACACAGAAAAUAUAUCAUCAUGUUGAAUUAUCAGCAAAUGUCUAGUAUUUCAGAAGCUUAGCGUGGUUGUGAUCACCUCUGCUUCACACACAAAAGUGGUCGUAAAACAAUAAGGAGAGACAAAAGCCCCAUGUGCUAGGUGGCCAAGUUUUUAAAUAAAAAAAUACAAUGAAAGUAAAUAUAAAGUAACCAUAUCCUGUUAGAGGGAAAUAAAUUCCACCAUUAGGGUUCUCUUAACUGGUUUCAUUGUGUAGUGGUUAACAUGAUUUUCAAAGCCCUUUUUCUCACUCUGGAUAUAUACAGUUCUUGAAAAGUGGGCAGGGGGACACCGAUAACCAUUGCAGCCGUCUAAACUGUCCUCUGUAGUCCUCUGAUGUCUGAUUUUACAGCUGAGCAGAACCAGACAGUUAUUAAAGCAACUCCUGUUGAACUUUCUAAGCUGGUGAAGGAAGUACAUACUCUGUUAAGCC